Molecule: ribosomal RNA, 270 nt
Filed under: uncultured bacterium
Lineage: Bacteria
Description: partial 16S ribosomal RNA
Rfam family: Bacterial small subunit ribosomal RNA
Source: RNAcentral
GUCCACGCCCUAAACUAUGUCAACUGGUUGUUGGGAAGGUUCCUUCUCAGUAACGUAGCUAACGCGUGAAGUUGACCGCCUGGGGAGUACGGCCGCAAGGUUGAAACUCAAAGGAAUUGACGGGGACCCGGCCACAAGCGGUGGAUGAUGUGGUUUUAAUUUCGAUGCAACGCGAAAAACCUUAACCUUACCCUUGACAUGUCAAGAAUCUUGCAGAGAUGUGAGAGUGCUCGAAAGAGAACUUGAACACAGGUGCUGCAUGGCCGUCGU